Molecule: transfer RNA, 71 nt
Organism: Camelus ferus (Wild Bactrian camel)
Lineage: Eukaryota; Metazoa; Chordata; Mammalia; Artiodactyla; Camelidae
Rfam family: tRNA
About the family: Transfer RNA (tRNA) molecules are approximately 80 nucleotides in length. Their secondary structure includes four short double-helical elements and three loops (D, anti-codon, and T loops).
Source: Rfam
AGAGAUAUAGCUCAGCAUAGGGUGCAUGCUUGGUGUGCAUGAGGUCCUGGGUUCAAUCCCCAGCACCUCCA